This 253-nucleotide ribosomal RNA is filed under the name uncultured bacterium. RNAcentral describes it as "partial 16S ribosomal RNA". It matches the Rfam family "Bacterial small subunit ribosomal RNA", at positions 524 to 776 of the family's 1533-position model. The record is from RNAcentral.
UACGGGGGGGGCAAGCGUUGUUCGGAAUUACUGGGCGUAAAGGGCCCGUAGGCGGCCAACUAAGUCAUACGUGAAAUCCCUCGGCUUAACCGGGGAACUGCGUCUGAUACUGGAUGGCUUGAGUUCGGGAGAGGGAUGCGGAAUUCCAGGUGUAGCGGUGAAAUGCGUAGAUAUCGGGAGGAACACCAGUGGCGAAGGCGACUAUCUGGGGUGCAACUGACGCUGAGGCGCGAAGGCUAGGGUAGCAAACAGG